This 244-nucleotide ribosomal RNA is filed under the name uncultured Gardnerella sp. Its description in RNAcentral is "partial 16S ribosomal RNA". It matches the Rfam family "Bacterial small subunit ribosomal RNA", at positions 111 to 354 of the family's 1533-position model. Lineage: Bacteria; Bacillati; Actinomycetota; Actinomycetes; Bifidobacteriales; Bifidobacteriaceae. The record is from RNAcentral.
UAAUGCGUGACCAACCUGCCCCAUGCUCCAGAAUAGCUCUUGGAAACGGGUGGUAAUGCUGGAUGCUCCAACUUGACGCAUGUCUUGUUGGGAAAGUGUUUAGUGGCAUGGGAUGGGGUCGCGUCCUAUCAGCUUGUAGGCGGGGUAAUGGCCCACCUAGGCUUCGACGGGUAGCCGGCCUGAGAGGGCGGACGGCCACAUUGGGACUGAGAUACGGCCCAGACUCCUACGGGAGGCAGCAGGC